Long non-coding RNA from Magallana angulata, 2432 nucleotides. RefSeq lists it as uncharacterized. The record is from RefSeq and is a predicted model, not a curated record. Lineage: Eukaryota; Metazoa; Mollusca; Bivalvia; Ostreida; Ostreidae. The transcript is spliced from 7 exons.
AUGUCCACAUGUGUAAAAUAUGUGUAUAAUUUUACACAUGUUUUGCACAUAUAAUGCAUGUGAACAACACAUGUUUUAAAAUUUAUAUGUUGUACACAUAUAUUAUACACGUGUGUAACAUAUACAUUUUACAUAUGUUUAACACAUAUGUAAAAUAAUAUAUGUUCAAUACAUGUUUAAAAGAACAUAUUCACGAAAAAAAAUUGUUUAAUUUAUUAUUCAUUUUCAUGACUUUCACCUAUAUUUAUGCAUUUAUUAGUAAAUACUUGUAAAAAUAAAAUUUAUUUAACAAACUUUUGCCGACUGACUUACAGAAAAAUUUAUUUGUUAACCAAUUCCGGAGUUAUAUCUCGAUUGGCUUUAAUUUUGUCGUUUGCAAUCAUACGUCAUUUUUUACGUCACGGAAGCAGAAGAUGUUGAAUCAUUUGCAGAUAUUCGAUUUGAGGCUAAAGGUAAGUUUUGUCAAUCAUUCUUAUUCAUUUAUUUGUAUUGUAAAAUUAUAUAAAUAUUGCUGGUAGCAACCUAGUCACCUUAUAACGCGAAAAGUAGCUCAGAGCUUGUGUUUCCCAGGAAAAUUCGGGUUGAAAACAAGAAACCUGUAUUGGAAACGAUUGAUGCUGAUCCAAUCUACUUAAGUGAACUUGAUGAAAGUUUUAAGAUGAAAUGUAAAGGCAAAUACGGUUAUUUAAUGUAUAUAUACACAUAAAGGUAUAUACUACAUCUGCUAUAUGUAAACGGUAGGUCUGUCGGUAAACGUUUUCGACAAAGCUUAAAUUAAGCAGUUGUAGCUGGCAAAAAGCACAUUUAUAGACAGAACAAUGCUUAAAAAUUAAGCCAACAUUAAAUAUAUGUUUAUCAAAUGCAUUUUUAUUUAGAUCAGACACAUUUCAAUCUUGAAAAAUGAAAGUAGAAUAAACUAGAGUAAAGCUCGUUGCAAAGUAACGAGUAGGUAUUCCAUAAAACUUAAAGCAGCAAGUCGAAAGUUUUAUAUAAUUUUGUUGUUGUUGUUGAUAUAUCAAAAUUAAAAAUUAAAUUGAUUGUUUAAAAUGUUACUUAUUAUGCAACAAGUUGCUAAAAUGUCCAGUUGGUUACUUAAUAUAUAUUAAGUGAGUUCUUAUUGUAUGCUAAUUUAAACACACUUUAUUUUCAGACAGGUCACAUAAACUAUCCCAGUGAAUAGCAGGGAUAUGUCUCUCUAAACUGUUUAUGCAGUUAAAAUGGCUACCAAUAUUUGGUCGGUCAGGAAGUCCUAAGACAUAAGUAAUGAAUUUUUCAAGAUCCAGACAUUCUUCUUGAGUUCAUAGAGAGUUCUACACUGCAGCUGGUAUAAAAGUGACAAAUCAUGAAAGAACCCAGUCCACACAUGAGUUGCUAAGGUCAGUGCAUUGAUAAGAAGGAAGUUGAAGUUAGAUCGACAUAGAAAUGGCUAGUUUUUUAGACUUCAUAAAAUUGCUGUUGGUUUUUCACAAUCAGCAGCACUUCUAACAAUUAUCCCUGGAUGGCCUGUGCAAUUAUUUGUACAGGCAAUUCACUCCACCAGGAAAGAGUCCUGUGGACAUAAGGAGAAAAAGAUGACGGUAGCACUUAGGGCAUUCUUAACAAUAAAAAGUUUACCGAAUGUUAGAAGUUCUGGCCAGAGUUUAAAGUUCUAUGCAUCAAUAAAAGAGAACAUCUAAGGGGCUUCUGCUGGAAAAAGAAGAAAGAAGAAUCAAGGGUUACCAAGAGGAACAAGGAAGAGAGAAAUGAAUUGUAAGAUGGCAAUGAAGAAUAAACUCCUGAGAACAAAUUAAUGAAGUUUUUGUUAUUAUUUUUUUUAUAUGCCUGGGCUGCAUUUUACAAAAGAACUUACGACAAAGUCGUAAAUAUUUACAGUCUUGUAAAAUGACCUUUAAAGAAAAAAAAUGACAUCAAAUAAUUUGUUUACUAAUAUUUGAGUUUCCAUAAUUCCAUUUUCCAGUCAUAAGAAUAAGUUUUUGAUUAGUUUGUGAUUUAUUAACAUUCAUUAAUUUGGUCGUAAGUCGUAAGUUCUUUUGUAAAACGCAGCCCUGGUAUACAUCUGCAAUAGUAUACUGAUGAUCUAUACAUUGAUAUCAAGGAAUAGUUUGCAAUAUGAAGCACACUGUACGUAAUAUAUUUUAAAUGAAAGCUUAAGUAAAGAUGUACCUUUAUUAUUGAAAAUUGCUAACAAAAAAUUAUAUAUAGAUUUCAUAUAUAAAAUGCAACACAUAUAUUACACAUGUAGAAUAUGUAUUUUACACAUAUAAAAUAUGCUCUGUUUAAUUUCACACAUGUUUAACACAUAUUAAACACAUGUUAAACAUGUGUGAAAUUAAACACUUUAUAUAUGUGUGCUCUUUUUAUGUGUUUUACACAUGUAAAAUAUAUAUGUAAAAUAUAUGUUGAACACAUGUUGCACACAUGUGGACAUUUUU